RNAcentral lists this transfer RNA (72 nucleotides) under Dehalococcoidia bacterium. RNAcentral's name for it is "tRNA-Thr". It matches the Rfam family "tRNA". Rfam says of the family: Transfer RNA (tRNA) molecules are approximately 80 nucleotides in length. Their secondary structure includes four short double-helical elements and three loops (D, anti-codon, and T loops). Lineage: Bacteria; Bacillati; Chloroflexota; Dehalococcoidia. The record is from RNAcentral.
CAGUGCGUAGCUCAGUGGUAGAGCGCAUCCUUGGUGAGGAUGAGGUCGUGGGUUCGAGUCCCACCGCACUUU